Molecule: small RNA, 115 nt
Filed under: Sinorhizobium meliloti 2011
Lineage: Bacteria; Pseudomonadati; Pseudomonadota; Alphaproteobacteria; Hyphomicrobiales; Rhizobiaceae
Description: putative ncRNA
Source: RNAcentral
AGCACUCUGCUUUUGCUCGAGGCGUUCCUCGAAGCUGUCGAAGGGCGUGAAGAUCACGCCGGAAUUGGAUGCAUUGGUGAAGGUCGCGCCGUUGAAACCGGCAAAGGCGACUGCA